This 343-nucleotide unclassified non-coding RNA is filed under the name soil metagenome. RNAcentral's name for it is "partial contains 5.8S ribosomal RNA, internal transcribed spacer 2, and large subunit ribosomal RNA". The stretch from base 1 to 120 matches the Rfam family "5.8S ribosomal RNA", at positions 35 to 154 of the family's 154-position model. The record is from RNAcentral.
GAUGAAGAACGCAGCGAAAUGCGAUAAGUAAUGUGAAUUGCAGAAUUCAGUGAAUCAUCGAAUCUUUGAACGCACAUUGCGCCCGCUAGUAUUCUGGCGGGCAUGCCUGUCCGAGCGUCAUUUCAACCCUCAAGCCCCCGGGCUUGGUGUUGGGGAUCGGCGAGCCUCCGCGCCCGCCGUCCCCUAAAUCUAGUGGCGGUCUCGCUGUAGCUUCCUCUGCGUAGUAGCACACCUCGCACUGGGAAACAGCGCGGCCACGCCGUUAAACCCCCAACUUCUGAACGUUUGACCUCGGAUCAGGUGGGAAUACCCGCUGAACUUAAGCAUAUCAAUAAGCGGAGGA